UUCCCUUAGCAGGGACCCCUAGAAGAUCCUCUUUCUCUCUCUCUGUGAUCUUCUCCGCCCCCAAUAAAGGCAUUUUAUUGUUUUAUUAUUUUCUGCACAGCAGGCCAAAAUCUACCAGUAGUUUCUCCAGUAAUCAAACCUGCAAUGAAAAUCUCUCCUACUAAUAGAACCAUACAUUAAUAGCACUUUGCACCAGGGAUGCUGGUUUCCAGUGAUGGGAGAAAUGGCGCUGCAAGGAAAGCGGCGUGAAGAGUCUAGGGCAAAAGUUAGCACCCAGGCAACUUAGAAGGGAAAAGAAAAGGUAAAGCAACCAACUGUAUAUGCAGACUGUGGAGAUCAGUAGGGGAAAAUUUAAUCCUUUGCCCGGGCACCUUAAAAGGAGGUGAAGAGGAAGUUGUGUUUGAAUUUGAUCGUCAACAGAGGCGGACAUUUCCCAGGUGCUGGCCAGCAAAGACCUGACCUGCUGAUCACAGUGAAUUCUUUCCUUAUCCUGAGCUUGUCCUCCAUGCUGUCUAUUACGACCACAGAUUCAAGUUCAAAAGUGGUGCUUGUCUUCCUUGGCUUUUCUGUGACGGAUGGUCCCACGCACAGGACCUGUCAACAGCAAUGCCUCUCACUUUUCCAAGUAGCAUCACCACUGAAGCAAGACAGUGGAAAGAGAAGAGGAAAAAACCACCUCAGCCCACUUAAGAUCAUGCACUUGAUAAAACUGUUUUCUUAGCCAG
RNAcentral lists this long non-coding RNA (725 nucleotides) under Chinchilla lanigera (long-tailed chinchilla). RNAcentral's name for it is "lncRNA (ENSCLAG00000022222.1)". The record is from RNAcentral. Lineage: Eukaryota; Metazoa; Chordata; Mammalia; Rodentia; Chinchillidae.